RNAcentral lists this ribosomal RNA (500 nucleotides) under uncultured bacterium. RNAcentral's name for it is "partial 16S ribosomal RNA". It matches the Rfam family "Bacterial small subunit ribosomal RNA", at positions 30 to 523 of the family's 1533-position model. The record is from RNAcentral.
AUUGAACGCUGGCGGCAUGCUUUACACAUGCAAGUCGAACGGUAACAGGGUGCUUGCACCGCUGACGAGUGGCGAACGGGUGAGUAAUGCGUCGGAACGUGCCGAGUAGUGGGGGAUAACGCAGCGAAAGUUGUGCUAAUACCGCAUACGUACUGAGGUAGAAAGUGGGGGACCUUCGGGCCUCACGCUAUUCGAGCGGCCGACGUCUGAUUAGCUAGUAGGGGAGGUAAAGGCUCACCUAGGCGACGAUCAGUAGCGGGUCUGAGAGGAUGAUCCGCCACACUGGGACUGAGACACGGCCCAGACUCCUACGGGAGGCAGCAGUGGGGAACUUUGGACAAUGGGCGAAAGCCUGAUCCAGCCAUGCCGCGUGUCUGAAGAAGGCCUUCGGGUUGUAAAGGACUUUUGUCAGGGAGGAAAUCCCUAGUGCUAAUAACACUGGGGGAUGACAGUACCUGAAGAAUAAGCACCGGCUAACUACGUGCCAGCCGCCGCAGUAA